UUUGAUCCUGGCUCAGGAUGAACGCUAGCGGCGUGCCUAAUGCAUGCAAGUCGAACGGGAUUCCCUGACUUCGGUUGGGGAUGAGAGUGGCGAACGGGUGAGUAACACGUAGGUUACCUGCCCUCGGGAGGGGGACAACCAGUGGAAACGCUGGCUAAUACCCCGGAUGUCAAUCUAGUUAGAGAGGAUUGACUAAAGCUCCGGCGCCCGAGGAGGGGCCUGCGACCCAUCAGCUAGUUGGUAGGGUAAAAGCCUACCAAGGCCGAGACGGGUAGGGGGCGUGAGAGCGUGGCCCCCCACACUGGUACUGACACACGGACCAGAUACCUACGGGUAGCAGCAGCAAGGAAUAUUGCGCAAUGGGCGAAAGCCUGACGCAGCAACGCCGCGUGGAGGAUGAAGGCCUUCGGGUUGUAAACUCCUUUUCUGGGGGAAGAGAACGGACGGUACCCCAGGAAUAAGGCCCGGCUAACUACGUGCCAGCAGCCGCGGUAAAACGUAGGGUCAAGCGUUAUCCGGAAUUACUGGGCGUAAAGGGCGCGUAGCGUUGCCAAAGUUGGACGUGAAAGCUCCUGGCUCAACUGGGAGAGGCCGUUCAAAACUAGGCGACUAGAGGAUGGUAAAAGGCGAGUGGAAUUCCCGGUGUAUUGGUGAAAUGCGUAAUUUCGGGAGGAACACCAGUGGCGAAGGCGGCUCGCUGGGCCAUAACUGACGCUUGAGCGCGAAAGCCAGGGGAGAGAAACGGGAUUAGAAACCCCGGUAUUUCCUGGCCGUUAAACGAUGUCAACUAAGUGUAGAGAGCCGAACAGGCUAGCUGUGCUGAAGCAAACGCGAUAAGUUGACCGCCUGGGGAGUACGGCCGCAAGGCUAAACUCAAAGGAAUUGACGGGGGCCCGCACAAGCAGCGGAGCGUGUGGUUUAAUUCGAGGCUACGCGAAGAACCUUACCAGGGUUUGACAUGUACGUGGUAGGUAUUGGAAACAAUGCUGACCCUUCGGGGAGCGUACACAGGUGCUGCAUGGCUGUCGUCAGCUCGUGCCGUGAGGUGUUAGGUUAAGUCCUGUAACGAGCGCAACCCUCGUCGUUAGUUACAAGUGUCUAACGAGACUGCCGGUGAUAAGCAGGAGGAAGGUGGGGAUGACGUCAAGUCAGCAUGGCCUAUAUAUCCUGGGCUACACACACGCUACAAUGGCCGGUACAAUGGGCAGCGAAGUCGCGAGACGGAGCCAAUCCUGAAAAGCCGGUCUCAGUUCGGAUUGCAGGCUGCAACUCGCCUGCAUGAAGUCGGAGUUGCUAGUAAACGCGCGUCAGCCACAGUGCGUUGAAUACGUUCCCGGGCCUUGUACACACCGCCCGUCACGUCAUGGAAGUUGGCAACGCCUGAAGUCGGUGGGCUAACCCUAACGGGAGGCAGCCGCCUAAGGCGGGGUCGGUAACUGGGACGAAGUCGUACAAGGUAGCUGUAGCGGAAGCUGCGGCUGGAUCACCUCCU
Molecule: ribosomal RNA, 1492 nt
Filed under: uncultured bacterium
Lineage: Bacteria
Description: bacterial SSU rRNA
Rfam family: Bacterial small subunit ribosomal RNA
Source: RNAcentral